RNAcentral lists this long non-coding RNA (518 nucleotides) under Nicotiana benthamiana. RNAcentral's name for it is "long non-coding RNA (NBEN_LNC034115)". The record is from RNAcentral. Lineage: Eukaryota; Viridiplantae; Streptophyta; Magnoliopsida; Solanales; Solanaceae.
GAUGUUUUAUAGAAAAAUAGAGCAAUAAAUCAAAUAAAGAAUUUAAAGAAAAUAGAGCAAUAAAUCAAAUCAAUUUCAGCGCUGUUUUAUAGAAAAAUAAAGCAAUAAAUCAAAUAAAUUUAAGCAACUUAGCAGAAUUGCAGAUUAACAUUUCUUGUUUUAUGUGUGCAGGUGCUCUUCGACAUUCUUUACAGGAUAGACUUAGCAAAAUUUCAAGCAAAAGUCGUGAUGAAAUAUAUUUGAAAGAAGAAGAAAAACAGAGCAUAGUCUGGUCGCGAAAAACAGAGCUGUUGUUGCUGCUGCCUGGACAGUGCUGGUCGCGAAAGAGAAAAGAAGAAAGAAGAAAGAAAAAAGAAGAAAGAAAGAAAAACAGAGUCUGGUCGCGAAAGAGAAUGAAAAAUUAAGCAUAGUCUGGUCGCGAAAAACAGAGCAUAGUCUGGCUCUGGUCGCGAAAAAUAGAGUUGUUGCUGCCUGGACACAGUGCUGGUCGUGAAAGAGAAAAGAAGAAAGAAGAAAGA